RNAcentral lists this ribosomal RNA (461 nucleotides) under uncultured Dethiosulfatibacter sp. RNAcentral describes it as "bacterial SSU rRNA". It matches the Rfam family "Bacterial small subunit ribosomal RNA", at positions 919 to 1382 of the family's 1533-position model. Lineage: Bacteria; Bacillati; Bacillota; Tissierellia. The record is from RNAcentral.
ACCCGCACAAGCAGCGGAGCAUGUGGUUUAAUUCGAAGCAACGCGAAGAACCUUACCAAGGCUUGACAUCCCCUUGAAAGGUGCAGAGAUGCAUCCCCUUUCGGAGCAGGGGAGACAGGUGGUGCAUGGUUGUCGUCAGCUCGUGUCGUGAGAUGUUGGGUUAAGUCCCGCAACGAGCGCAACCCCUAUUAUUAGUUGCCAGCAUUACGGGUGGGCACUCUAAUGAGACUGCCGGUGACAAACCGGAGGAAGGUGGGAUGACGUCAAAUCAUCAUGCCCCUUAUGUCUUGGGCUACACACGUGCUACAAUGGUCGGUACAACGGGGUGCGAAGGAGCGAUCCGGAGCGAAUCCCAAGAAGCCGAUCUCAGUUCGGAUUGCAGGCUGCAACUCGCCUGCAUGAAGUUGGAGUUGCUAGUAAUCGCGAAUCAGAACGUCGCGGUGAAUGCGUUCCCGGGUCUU